UUUUGAUUGCUUAAUAAUCAGUAAGACCUGCUCAAUGAAACUUAAAUAGCCGCGAUUUUCGUGCUAAGGUAGCAUAAUCAAUUGCCUUUUAAUUGAAGGCUGGAAUGAAAGGUUCUACAUAUAAAAUACUUUAUUAACAAUAUUUCUUUAAACUAAUCUAUAAAUAAAAAAGUUUAUAUUAUAAAGAAGGACGACAAGACCCUGUCGAGCUUGACUUCAGUUUCACUGGGGAGGUGAAAAAAUUAUUCCUUUUUCAUCACUUUUUAGAAAAAAAUAGUGAAAGAACUUUGAACUAGCUACCGCAGGGAUAACAGCACAAUUUAUUUUAGGAGAUCUUAUCUUAAAAUUAGAUUAUGACCUCGAUGUUGAAUUAAAUUACCUUUAGGAGAAGAAGCUUAAAAGGAAAGUCUGUUCGACUUUUAAAAUUUU
This 429-nucleotide ribosomal RNA is filed under the name Conothele sp. MYG545. RNAcentral describes it as "partial 16S ribosomal RNA". It matches the Rfam family "Bacterial large subunit ribosomal RNA", at positions 1832 to 2597 of the family's 2925-position model. Lineage: Eukaryota; Metazoa; Arthropoda; Arachnida; Araneae; Ctenizidae. The record is from RNAcentral.